UCCAGUUUAUCCUGCUGGCGGCUGCGGCUAUCUGGUUUGCACUAAGACAUGCAAGUUUUUUCCGAAAGGAAGGCGAACUGCUCAGUAACACGUAGCUAACCUGCCCUAUGGUUGAAGAUAUUCUCGGGAAACUGAGAUUAAAAUUCGAUAUGAUACGAUUUCUGGAACGAGUUGUAUCUGAAAAGCAAUGCCAUAGGAUGGGGCUGCGGCUGAUUAGGUUGUUGGCGGGGUAACUGCCCACCAAGCCGAUGAUCAGUAAGGGCUCUUAGCGGAGAGGCCCUGAGAAGGACUCUGAGACACAAGUCCUAGCCCUACGGGGUGCAGCAGUCGGGGAUUUUUUCCAAUGUGCGAAAGCAUGAGAAAGCGAGCCAGAGUGUUUCUCAAAAUUGAGAAACUUUUGUCAGCUGUAAAAACGCUGAAGAAUAAGGACUGGACAAGAUUGGUGCCAGCAGCCGCGGUAAUCCCAACAGUCCAAGUCGCAGCCACAAUUAUUGGGUCUAAAACAUCCGUAGCUUGUUUCGUAAGUCUCUCGUGAAAUUCUGUCUCUUAAGGACGGAGCGAGCGAGAGAUACUGCGGAGCUAGAGACCGGGGGACGAGAGGAGUACAGUCAAGGUAGUGGUAAAAUACGUUAAUCUUGGCUGGACUAACAAUAGCGAAGGCACCUUUCGACAACGGAUCUGACAGUGAGGGAUGAAAGCUAGGGGCGCAAAAUGGAUUAGAUACCCAUGUAGUCCUAGCCGUAAACACUGCACACUAAACAUCGGGAUCUCCUCGCGAGAUUCCGGUGCUGCACCGAAGGGGAGAAGUGUGCUACCUGGGAAGUAUAGUCGCAAGGCCGAAACUUAAAGGAAUUGGCGGGGGAAUACCACAACGGGUGACGCGUGCGGUUCAAUUAGAUUCUACACCGUGAACCUCACCAGGACCGACAGCAGAAUGAAGGUCAGUCUAAAGGGCUUACCUGACACGCUGAGAGGAGGUGCAUGGCCGUCUUAAGCCUGUGUCGUGAGAUGACCGGUUAAAUCCGGUAACAGGCGAGACCCGUGUGUAUAGUUGCUACCUGGAGAAGGGGCACUCUAUACAGACUGCCUUGGUAACAAGGAGGAAGGUGCGGGCUACGUUAGGUGAGUACGCCCCAAACGCCCUGGGCUACACGCGCGCGGCAAUGCUAAAUGCAAUUGGAUGCUACUCUGAAAAGAGACGCUAAUCCCCUAAUAUUUAGCUAAGUUCGAAUUGAGGAUUGAAACUCAUCCUCAUGACGCUGGAAUCCGUAGUAAUCGUUCGUUAUCAGCGGACGGUGAAUAAGUCCCUGUUCCUUGCACACACCGCCCGUCAAACCAACCGAGUUCUGCAUUGAUGAGGCUCUUCGGAGACGAGUCUUUGUAAGACAAGGUAGGUUAAGUCGACACAAGGUC
Molecule: ribosomal RNA, 1413 nt
Filed under: metagenome
Description: bacterial SSU rRNA
Rfam family: Archaeal small subunit ribosomal RNA
Source: RNAcentral